Molecule: ribosomal RNA, 252 nt
Filed under: uncultured bacterium
Lineage: Bacteria
Description: partial 16S ribosomal RNA
Rfam family: Bacterial small subunit ribosomal RNA
Source: RNAcentral
UACGUAGGGUGCAAGCAUUAUCCGGAAUUAUUGGGCGUAAAGCGUUUGUAGGCGGUAAGUUAAGUAGGAGGUUAAAUCUCUGGGCCCAACCCAGAAACCAUCUCCUAAACUGGCUGACUAGAGGUAUGUAGAGGCAAGUGGAAUUUCCGGUGUAGGGGUAAAAUCCGUUGAGAUCGGAAGGAACGCCAAAAGCGAAGGCAGCUUGCUGGACAUACCUGACGCUGAGAAACGAAAGCGUGGGGAGCAAACAGG